Molecule: long non-coding RNA, 976 nt
Organism: Xenia sp. Carnegie-2017
Lineage: Eukaryota; Metazoa; Cnidaria; Anthozoa; Malacalcyonacea; Xeniidae
Exons: 3
Source: RefSeq, a predicted model, not a curated record
UUGUUUUUGCUCUCCAACUGGUGCCAAAUUGGUUCGAGAGCAACUUGAUGACUGCAUCGAAUCGGGUGACUCAAUACAAAUAUGGCGGCCAACUAUUCAUGAUGCACGCGCGUUUCGAUUGCUGUUUUCACUAUGAUAACGGUCGUAGAUGACUAUGAUAUUGCAGGAAAAAUAGUAUUCCAUUAUCAUUCAAAGUAUAGAGUUUUUGAAGACGACCAUUUGCUUUGUUUUGAAGACGACCUAAUGGUUUUGAAAGUGAUUCAAUUGUCGUAGGAGUGAACGGCAGAAAACAAAUUAUGUCAGUAUUCUUAUGCUGUUGAAGCUGGGUUGAAAACAGAGUAUUUACCCCCCAAUCUGAUUAACGAGCUCAUCAGAGAUGUCUGCACAAGUGUGCUAAGAUUUACAAGCCAUCCCAGCAAAACAGAAUGAGUAAAGAUUGCACUGAUGAUUGUCGAAUCAUAUCCAUUCUUGAAGGAUCCACUGUUUGAUGCAAACUCAAAGCCAUGGGGGUCUAUUGAGAUGAAAAUCUAUAACCGAUUCAAAAAAUUGCAAAGAAAGAGAUCUAACACGCCUGUUACCAAUGUCUCGCAAACUAAAGGCAAAACAACAAAGAAAAAGAACAGUCACUGUUCUUCAAAAAGAUUGGCGAUGCUCUGGUUGCUUUUUUGGCCACAUACUAUAUAUACAAUAUACAAUACAUUGAUGGCAAGAAUGUCUAUAGCUUUCUUGACAUGGCAUUAUUGGGAAUUAUCCCAGAGAAGUGUCCAUCUUCUGUGAAAAGUUUAGUUGGAGUAUUAUCAAAUGUGUUCAACUAAUCAUGAAUGCAUAUGCGUGGUAUAUACAUUAUGUUUUAUUUCAAUUCUUUUUUGUGAAGUUUAAUUUCAGUGACAUAAAAAUAUGUGCAUGUAAACUAUUUUAAUGAAGGUGUUAAGCACUUAUGUGCUUACGUAUAUUAUACGAGUCUUGUUUAUUGUAA